This 89-nucleotide transfer RNA is filed under the name Planctomycetota bacterium. RNAcentral's name for it is "tRNA-OTHER". It matches the Rfam family "tRNA". From Rfam's summary of the family: Transfer RNA (tRNA) molecules are approximately 80 nucleotides in length. Their secondary structure includes four short double-helical elements and three loops (D, anti-codon, and T loops). Lineage: Bacteria; Pseudomonadati; Planctomycetota. The record is from RNAcentral.
GCCCAGGUACGCCAACGGCUGAGCGGCUCGGCUCGGUGUUGAUUUCCAAAAGGGCCGAGCGUGUGCAGGUUCGACUCCUGCUCUGGGUA